CGUGCACCUAGGCAAUUUUUGGAUAAAUUUUACCAAUUUCUGUAAUUAUUUGUUGAUUUUCUAAAGAAAAAAUGGAAAAAAUGUCUGAGGUGCCUAGAAAAAUCUUAAAACUUGCAUGGUCACAUAAUUUAGUAGUGUAGUGUCGAGGAAAAAGUUUCAGUCAAUUCUGAGAAAGUGGUCAUGCACGUGCUCGCAGAGGCCCUCAUCUCUCUCACAUGUCCUAGUCACUGUGCCAUGAGGUACAUAGGCAUAUAAGGGAUGUGUAGCACAACUUGCACCAAACCACUUGAAACUUUAUGAGGAUGUUUAUGUAGGUGAGGGAUGAUGUUGUUUGCAACUAGGCAAUUUUGACAAAUUUUACCUAUUUCUGUAAUUAUUUGUUGAUUUUCUAAAGAAAAAAAAGGAAAAAAUGUCUGAAGUGCCUAGAAAAUCUAAAAACUUGCAUGGUCACAUAAUUUAGUUGUGUAGUGUUGAGGAAAAAGUUACAAUCAGUUCUAAGAAAAUGGUCAUGCACGUGCUCGUAGAGGCCGUAAUCUAUCCCACAUGUCCUAGUCAUUCUGCAAUGUGGUAAAUAGGCAUAUAAGGGAUGUGUAGCACAACUUUCACCAAACCACUUUAAACAUUUUUAGGAUGUUUAUGUAGGUGAGGGAUGAUGUUGUGUGCACCUAGACAAUUUUUGGACAAAUUUUACCUAUUUCGGUAAUUAUUUGUUGAUUUUCUAAAAAAAAGGGAAAAAAUGCCUGAGGUGCCUAGAAAAAUCUUAAAACUUGUAUGGUCAUAUAAUUUAGCUGUGUAGUGUUGAGAAAAAAGUUUCAGUUAAUUCUGAGAAAGUGGUCAUACACGUGCUCGAAGAGGCCCUAAUCUCUCCCACAUGUCCUAGUCACUAUGCAAUGAGGUACAUAGGCAUAUAAGGGAUGUGUAGCACAACUUUCACCAAACUACUUGAAACUCUUUUAGGAUGUUUAUAUAUGUGAGGGAUGAUGUUUUGUGCACCUAUGCGAUUUUUGUACAAAUUAAACCUAUUUUUGUAAAUAUUUGUUGAUUUUCUAAAUAAAAAAUGGAAAAAAUGCCUGAGGUGCCUAGAAAAAUCUAAAAACUUGCAUGGUCACACAAUUUAGCUGUGUAGUGUUGAGGAAAAGUUUGAGUCAAUUCUGAGAAAGUGGUCAUGCACGUGCUCGCAGAGAACCUCAUCUGUUCCACAUGUCCUAGUCACUAUGCAAUGAGGUACAUAGGCAUAUAAGAAAUGUGUAGCACAACUUUCACCAAACCACUUGAAACUUUUUGAGGAUGUUUAUAUAGGUGAGGGAUGAUAUUGUGUGCACCUAGGCAAUUUUUGGACAAAUUUUACCUAUUUCUGUAAUUAUUUAUUGAUUUUUUAAAAAAAAUAGAAAAAAUGCAUUAGGUGCCUAGAAAAAUAUAAAAACUUCUAUGGUCACAUAAUUUAGUUGUGUAGUGUUGAGAAAAAGUUUCAGUCAAUUAUAAGAAAGUGGUCAUGCACGUACUCGCAGAGGCCCUCAUCUCUCCCACAUGUCCCAGUCAUUUUGCAAUGAGGUACAUAGGCAUAUAAGGGUUGUGCAGCACAACUUUCACCAAACUACUUGAAACGUUUUUAGGAUGUUUAUGUAGAUGAGGGAUGAUGUUGUGUGCACCUUGGAAAUUUUUGGAUAAAUUUUACCUAUUUCUGUAAUUAUUUGUUGAUUUUCUAUAGAAAAAAAUGGAAAAAUGCCUGAGGUGCUUAGAAAAAUCUAAAAACUUCCAUGGUCACAUAAUUUAGCUGUGUAGUGUUGAGGAAAAAGUUUCAGUCAAUUCUGAGAAAGUGGUCAUGCACGUGCUCGCAGAGGCCCUCAUCUCUCCCACAUGUCCUAGUCACUAUGCAAUUAGGUACAUAGGCAUAUAAGGGAUGUGUAGCACAACUUUCACCAAACCAUUUGAAACUUUUUUCGGAUGUUUAUGUAGGUGAGGGAUGAUGUUGCGUGCACCAAGGCAACUUUUGGACAGAUUUUACCUAUUUCUGUAAUUAUUUGUUGAUUUUCUAAAGAAACAAAUGGAAAAAAUGCCUGAGGUGCUUAGAAAAAUCUAAAAACUUCCAUGGUCACAUAAUUUAGCUGUGUAGUGUUGAGGAAAAAGUUUCAGUCAAUUCUGAGAAAGUGGUCAUGCACGUGCUCGCAGAGGCCCUCAUCUCUCCCACAUGUCCUAGUCACUGUGCAAUUAGGUACAUAGGCAAAUAAAGGAUGUGUAGCACAACUUUCACCAAACCAUUUGAAACUUUUUUCGGAUGUUUAUGUAGGUGAGGGAUGAUGUUGUGUGCACCUAGACAAUUUUUGGACAAAUUUUACCUAUUUCGGUAAUUAUUUGUUGAUUUUCUAAAGAAAAAAAGAGAAAAAAUGCCUAAGGUGCCUAGAAAAAUCUAAAAACUUGCAUGGUCACAUAAUUUAGCUAUGUAGUGUUGAGAAAAAAGUUUCAGUCAAUUCUGAGAAAGUGGUCAUGCGCGUGCUCGCACAGGCCCUCAUCUCUCCCACAUGUCCUAGUCACUAUGCAAUGAGGUAUAUAGGCAUAUAAGAGAUGUGUAGCACAACUUUCACCAAACCAUUUGAAACUUUUUUGGAUGUUUAUGUAGGUGAGGGAUGAUGCUGUCUGCACCUAGGCAAUUUUUAGACAAAUUUUACCUAUUUCUGUAAUUAUUUGUUGAAUUUCUAAAGAAAAAAAUGGAACAAAUGCCUGAGUUGCCUAGAAAAAUCUUAAAACUUGCAUGGUCAUAUAAUUUAGCCGUGUAGUGUUGAAAAAAAAGUUUCAGUUAAUUCUGAGAAAGUGGUCAUACACGUGCUCGAAGAGGCCCUAAUCUCUCCCACAUGUCCUAGUCAUUGUGCAAUGAGGUACAUAGGCAUAUAAGGGAUGUGUAGCACAACUUUCACCAAACUACUUGAAACUCUUUUAGGAUGUUUAUAUAUGUGAGGGAUGAUGUUUUGUGCACCUAUGCGAUUUUUGUACAAAUUAAACCUAUUUUUGUAAAUAUUUGUUGAUUUUCUAAAUAAAAAAUGGAAAAAAUGCCUGAGGUGCCUAGAAAAAUCUAAAAACUUGCAUGGUCACACAAUUUAGCUGUGUAGUGUUGAGGAAAAGUUUGAGUCAAUUCUGAGAAAGUGGUCAUGCACGUGCUCGCAGAGAACCUCAUCCCUUCCACAUGUCCUAGUCACUAUGCAAUGAGGUACAUAGGCAUAUAAGAAAUGUGUAGCACAACUUUCACCAAACCACUUGAAACUUUUUGAGGAUGUUUAUGUAGGUGAGGGAUGAUGUUGUGUGUAUCUAGGCAAUUUUUGGACAAAUUUUACCUAUUUUUGUAAUUAUUUGUCGAUUUCUAAAAAAAAUAGAAAAAAUGCUUUAGGUGCCUAGAAAAAUAUAAAAACUUGUAUGGUCACAUAAUUUAGCUGUGUAGUGUUGAAAAAAAGUUUCAGUCAAUUCUAAGAAAGUGGUCAUGCUCGUACUCGUAGAGGCCCUCAUCUCUCCCACAUGUCCUAGUCACUUUGCAAUGAGGUACAUAGGCAUAUAAGGGUUGUUCAGCACAACUUUCACCAAACUACUUGAAACUUUUUCAGGAUGUUUAUGUAGAUGAGGGAUGAUGUUGUGUGCACCUUGGAAAUUUUUGGAUAAAUUUUACCUAUUUCUGUAAUUAUUUGUUGAUUUUCUAUAGAAAAAAAUGGAAAAAUGCCUGAGGUGCCUAGAAAAAUCUAAAAACUUGCAUGGUCACAUAAUUUAGCUGUGUAGUGUUGAGGAAAAAGUUUCAGUCAAUUCUGAGAAAGUGGUCAUGCACGUGCUCGCAGAGGCCCUCAUCUCUCCCACAUGUCCUAGUCACUGUGCAAUAAGGUACAUAGGCAUAUAAGGGAUGUGUAGCACAACUUUCACCAAACCACUUGAAACUUUUUUAGGAUGUUUAUGUAGGUGAGGGAUGAUGUUGUGUGCACCAAGGCAAUUUUUUGACAAAUUUUAUCUAUUUUUGUGAAUAUUUGUUGAUUUUCUAAAGAAAAAAUGGAAAAAAAUGCCUGAGGUGCCUAGAAAAAUCUAAAAACUUGCAUGGUCAUAUAAUUUAGCUGUGUAGUGUUGAGGAAAAAGUUUUAGUCAAUUCUGAGAAAGUGGUCAUGCACGUGCUCGUAGAGGCCCUCAUCUCUCCCACAUGUCCUAGUCACUAUGAAAUGAGGUACAUAGGCAUAUAUGGGAUGUGUAGCACAACUUUCACCAAACCAUUUGAAACCUUUUUAGGAUGUUUAUGUAGGUGAGGGAUGAUGUUUCGUGCACCUCGGCAAUUUUUGGACAAACUUUACCUAUUUCUGUAAUUAUUUGUUGAUUUUCUAAAGAAUAAAAGGAAAAAAUGUCUGAGGUGCCUAGAAAAAUCUUAAAACUUGCAUGGUCACAUAAUUUAGCAGUGUAGUGUUGAGCAAAAAGUUUCAGUCAAUUCUAAGAAAGUGGUCAUGCCCGUGCUCGCAGAGGCCCUCAUCUCUCGCACAUGUCCUAGUCACUAUGAAAUGAGGUAUAUAGGCAUAUAAGGGAUGUGUAGCACAACUUUCACCAAACCAUUUGAAACUUUAUUAGGAUGUUUAUGUAGGUGAGGGAUGAUGUUUCGUGCACCUAGGCAAUUUUUGGACAAAUUUUACCAAUUUCUGUAAUUAUUUAUUGAUUUUCUAAAGAAAAAAAUGGAAAAAAUGUCUGAGGUGCCUAGAAAAAUCUUAAAACUUGCAUGGUCACAUAAUUUAGUAGUGUAGUGUCGAGGAAAAAGUUUCAGUCAAUUCUGAGAAAGUGGUCAUGCACGUGCUCGCAGAGGCCCUCAUCUCUCUCACAUGUCCUAGUCACUGUGCCAUGAGGUACAUAGGCAUAUAAGGGAUGUGUAGCACAACUUUCACCAAACCACUUGAAACUUUAUUAGGAUGUUUAUGUAGGUGAGGGAUGAUGUUGUUUGCAACUAGGCAAUUUUGACAAAUUUUACCUAUUUCUGUAAUUAUUUGUUGAUUUUCUAAAGAAAAAAAGGAAAAAAUGUCUGAAGUGCCUAGAAAAAUCUAAAAACUUGCAUGGUCACAUAAUUUAGCUGUGUAGUGUUGAGGAAAAAGUUUCAAUCAGUUCUAAGAAAAUGGUCAUGGACGUGCUCGUAGAGGCCGUAAUCUAUCCCACAUGUCCUAGUCAUUCUGCAAUGUGGUAAAUAGGCAUAUAAGGGAUGUGUAGCACAACUUUCACCAAACCACUUUAAACAUUUUUAGGAUGUUUAUGUAGGUGAGGGAUGAUGUUGUGUGCACCUAGACAAUUUUUGGACAAAUUUUACAUAUUUUGGUAAUUAUUUGUUGAUUUUCUAAAGAAAAAAAGGGAAAAAAUGCCUG
RNAcentral lists this long non-coding RNA (5357 nucleotides) under Sorghum bicolor (sorghum). RNAcentral's name for it is "long non-coding RNA (SBIC_LNC008086)". Lineage: Eukaryota; Viridiplantae; Streptophyta; Magnoliopsida; Poales; Poaceae. The record is from RNAcentral.